UACGAAGGGUGCAAGCGUUACUCGGAAUCACUGGGCGUAAAGCGCACGUAGGCGGCUUUCUAAGUCAGGGGUGAAAUCCUGGAGCUCAACUCCAGAACUGCCUUUGAUACUGGAGAGCUUGAGUCCGGGAGAGGUGAGUGGAACUCCGAGUGUAGAGGUGAAAUUCGUAGAUAUUCGGAAGAACACCAGUGGCGAAGGCGGCUCACUGGCCCGGUACUGACGCUGAUGUGCGAAAGCGUGGGGAGCAAACAGG
Molecule: ribosomal RNA, 253 nt
Filed under: uncultured bacterium
Lineage: Bacteria
Description: partial 16S ribosomal RNA
Rfam family: Bacterial small subunit ribosomal RNA
Source: RNAcentral